This 271-nucleotide ribosomal RNA is filed under the name uncultured bacterium. RNAcentral describes it as "partial 16S ribosomal RNA". It matches the Rfam family "Bacterial small subunit ribosomal RNA", at positions 524 to 792 of the family's 1533-position model. The record is from RNAcentral.
GACAGAGGGUGCAAACGUUUGUUCGGAAUUACUGGGCGUAAAGCGCGUGUAGGCGGUCUCGCAAGUCGGAUGUGAAAGCCCAGGGCUCAACCCUGGAAGUGCACUCGAUACUGCGAGGCUAGAGUCCCGGAGAGGAUGGUGGAACUCUCGGUGUAGAGGUGAAAUUCGUAGAUAUCGAGAAGAACACCGGUGGCGAAGGCGGCCAUCUGGACGGUGACUGACGCUGAGACGCGAAAGCGUGGGGAGCAAACAGGAUUAAGAUACCCCGAGA